RNAcentral lists this transfer RNA (65 nucleotides) under Typhlocyba choui. RNAcentral's name for it is "tRNA-Asn". Lineage: Eukaryota; Metazoa; Arthropoda; Insecta; Hemiptera; Cicadellidae. The record is from RNAcentral.
UUAGUUGAAACCAAAAUAGAGGUACUUUAUUGUUAAUAAAAUAAUUGAAUAAAAUUCCAAUUAAG